This 240-nucleotide ribosomal RNA is filed under the name uncultured Saccharopolyspora sp. RNAcentral's name for it is "partial 16S ribosomal RNA". It matches the Rfam family "Bacterial small subunit ribosomal RNA", at positions 949 to 1190 of the family's 1533-position model. The record is from RNAcentral. Lineage: Bacteria; Bacillati; Actinomycetota; Actinomycetes; Pseudonocardiales; Pseudonocardiaceae.
AUUCGAUGCAACGCGAAGAACCUUACCUGGGUUUGACAUGCACAGGAUCGCCCCUGAGAGGGGGUUUCCCUUGUGGCCUGUGUGCAGGUGGUGCAUGGCUGUCGUCAGCUCGUGUCGUGAGAUGUUGGGUUAAGUCCCGCAACGAGCGCAACCCUUGUCCUGUGUUGCCAGCACGUGAUGGUGGGGACUCGCAGGAGACUGCCGGGGUCAACUCGGAGGAAGGUGGGGAUGACGUCAAGU